This is a long non-coding RNA of Notothenia coriiceps (black rockcod), 96 nucleotides long. RefSeq lists it as uncharacterized. The transcript has 3 exons. Lineage: Eukaryota; Metazoa; Chordata; Actinopteri; Perciformes; Nototheniidae. The record is from RefSeq and is a predicted model, not a curated record.
ACUCCACCUCCGUCAUGUGGCGCAGAUCCUCCAUCCAGCGCUGCACCGAGUCCACCUGGAGGGUCUGCAUGCGGGUACUCAUCGGGGCUGAACAGA